UUCAUCAUUGUUAAAUUCUACUUACAUCAAAAUAUCUUGGAAGUGACAUCUUUUCUUAAAGAAUAAUUGGCAAAGUCGUGUUAUGGUGGACUGUAGUAAUUGGAAUAUGUGUUUGUUAAAAUAUGUCACAUAUUUAUUAAAAAUGAUAAAAAUCCAAAAAAUCCAACAAAGACCGAACCGACAAAAAACCGACUUAGUUGGCUUGGUUUGGUUUGGUUCUAACAUAUGAAAAAUCGACUUAAUGGUUUUGGUUUUCUUUUAGAGGAUAAUCUAUCAAACCAAACCAUGAACACCCUUAGGCUGCAUUUGUUUUCAUUAAGAUUAAGACGACUUAAUCUGAAUGAUAAAGAUGUUCUUUCUAGUUCUGAACACUUUGAAUGAUUAAGACCGUUUGUUUUUCAACAUCUGAAUGUGCAUAAUUAUUUUUCAAAAUUAAUAAACAUAAUCAAAAAGAAAAAAGAUACGGUCUCCACUUUAAACCCUAGCAUCCAACACAGGCAUAUAGAAAGUUCCCUAAUGUUGUAGCCCUUCUUUCCACUUCAUGGUUGUUUUCCAUGGAACUAUCUUUAGUGAUAUAUCGAAAGUGAUUUUUCUAUGUUGCCUUUCGAUUAUACGUAUUUUUCGUCCAAUGAAGGUGUUAUUGGGAAGAAGAAACAGUUGACAAUGAAAGUUGAUAUAAGGAACUGAAAAAAAUGGUUGUGGCCAUAUUUUUGAUUUCGAAUACAAAAACUGUUGUGUCAUCUGUGUUAAAGAUCAGAUAUAGGUUAAUUGUUCUCAUUGAUCCGACGACAAAUGAUAGAAGUAAAUUGAAAAUGCAUGUUAGGAAAUCCUUUGCAAUGAAUGAUGUGCUUAUGCAGGGAGAUGAGUUGGAGAAGAAAGAAACUUCUAUAAUAAUAAAAAUUUAAUGUUAAAAGAAAAUAAAAGAGCAAGGUUCUGAAUGAUUUUUGACUCGGUUUUAGAUCUGACUGAAUCAGAUGUAUUAAGAUGCAUUAAGUGGCUAGAUCUUACAACAAACAAAUACACUUAAUGGGCUGAAAUCAGAGUGAGUCAGAUUCAUACCUCCAAUAACUGCAAAGAAAUGAGGCCUUAGAUAGAAGACUAAGAAACAUAUAUAGCAGGAUUCAUAGUAAAGAACCCAUAUGACUGUUCUGUGGUUCAUGCUAAAGAACCCAUAUGACUGUUCU
This 1184-nucleotide long non-coding RNA is filed under the name Capsicum annuum. RNAcentral's name for it is "long non-coding RNA (CANN_LNC011080)". Lineage: Eukaryota; Viridiplantae; Streptophyta; Magnoliopsida; Solanales; Solanaceae. The record is from RNAcentral.